AUUGAACGCUGGCGGCAUGCCUUACACAUGCAAGUCGAACGGCAGCGCGGGGCAACCUGGCGGCGAGUGGCGAACGGGUGAGUAAUAUAUCGGAACAUACCCUAGAGUGGGGAUAACGUAGCGAAAGUUACGCUAAUACCGCAUACGCACUAAGGUGGAAAGUGGGGGAUUCGCAAGAACCUCAUGCUCAUGGAGUGGCCGAUAUCUGAUUAGCUAGUUGGUGAGGUAAAGGCUCACCAAGGCAACGAUCAGUAGCUGGUUUGAGAGAACGACCAGCCACACUGGAACUGAGACACGGUCCAGACUCCUACGGGAGGCAGCAGUGGGGAAUUUUGGACAAUGGGCGAAAGCCUGAUGCAGCGACGCCGCGUGGAGGAUGAAGGAUUUCGGGUCUGUAAACUCCUGUCAGUAGGGAAGAGAAUGGACGGUACCUACUGAGGAAGCUUCGGCUAACUACGUGCCAGCAGCCGCGGUAAU
RNAcentral lists this ribosomal RNA (477 nucleotides) under uncultured bacterium. RNAcentral describes it as "bacterial SSU rRNA". It matches the Rfam family "Bacterial small subunit ribosomal RNA", at positions 30 to 524 of the family's 1533-position model. The record is from RNAcentral.